This is a long non-coding RNA of Cyprinus carpio carpio, 3098 nucleotides long. The record is from Ensembl. NCBI's taxonomy places the organism in Eukaryota, Metazoa, Chordata, Actinopteri, Cypriniformes, Cyprinidae.
GUCGUGAAUGGAUUGGUUCAAAUGCUGCUUUGUAUCUGUAGGUUCAAGGCUUUAGAAUAGGUCACCUAAAAAUGAGCCAUUUCUUAUUUCGUUUUUGUUCUGUUGAAUGGAUGAGGACACGUCAGACUUCUUAACCACAGAAGAAAGCAUGGGAAGAAAGUUGGAACACAAUGAGGAAACAGAAAGGGUGAAAGAUGACUUGAAGCACUUCACCCCCUGCCUGUGUCUUUUGUCUAUGCUCUGUGGCAGCUGGAGUGAUUACACCUUCACUCGGUUUACAGUCACGACAAGAUUCACUUGCCACAUACUUACAGGUAUGAAGCCAUAACUGCAUACAGUCAUCCAUGCCCAAACACACAUUUAGAUCGCUCUGAAGCAUACUGUACACCUCCUUUCUUUUAUCCCUCUAAAGGGAGAACCUGAAGCUUUAGACCCAUUCAAACAUGCCCUUUCAGAUCUCUGACCCAAAUAGAUUUUGAAUGAAAGUUCAAAGAAAGUUUGCUUGAAAACAUCUUAAUCUUUGAUAAUUAAGUUGCAAGGUUAUUACAGGUGUAAUAGGUCUUUGUUUGUGUGUUUAUGUCUAAAUUUGCUCUGUCAAGUGGAGUCACACUUUCAGCUAUCUGUACAGUUUAUUUGAAAAGUAUACAUAUUAAAUUGAAUAAAAUCUGUACGACAACACUAACACAGGAAGUAAAUUUUGCAAUGCUGUGCAAUGCAUAAGAACUCCUAGUGUUAAUGCACCUUGCACAGUCAGCAAUGUUUUCCUGUUUUCCAAUGAACUGUGCACAUGCUCAGACACACAAGAGACAUUCAUGCACAGUGAUCUUGAGUAAGGUGCUGACCUCUUUCACCCCUACUUUCUUGUCUCCAGCCCAUCCAAAAGACAAAACCAGAAUUGACCAGAGGCAUUGAGGUUUAAAGGCUCAGGUUCACUGUACUUUAUUUUCUGUUUUCCUUUUUUUCAUGCACAGUUUAGCAAGUAAGCCUUCCAAAGUAUAACCUUUUGACCAUAAACAUGGAUAGACAUGUUGUACAUCAAGUGGACCAUUCUUUUCAAGCGCUCAAACCGCUAACACGCUUUACACCUAUAUGAUAUCUCACCUAGCCUAACAAAUGAUCCAGGACAGCCUAAAAAACAAGGUGCAUGGCACCCCUGGAGAGAUCUGUCUAUUUACCCUAUGCACUCUUCAUUUUCUCCACAUUUCUCUUCCUCCUGUUCUACUUACCUUUCGCUCAUCAAGGAUGGCUGAUUCCUUUCCAUCUGCACAUGCAGUACAAAUGCAGCCGCAGCCCACAGAGGUCGAUUAAUAUUAAUGUCAGGCCCUCGUGAGGUGUCGGGGUCUAAUUAGGAGGAUCUUGUUACUGUAACGUGCUCACUGGCCUGCUGGGAUGUGAGAGGGGACAGGACACCCACCCACCUCUGCGCCAGCCCCCGCAGCACUGCGCGUUUAGCGGGGCUCUGCGUGUUCCAGAUCAUUAAUGCAAAAACCGGUCCACACGCGCUCUGUGCUGCAUCAACUCUGCGGAACUUUCCCGCUGUUCCGCUAAUUAGACAUUCUGUUUCAUAGCCGACUCUAGCGCCCUCUACAUGGCUGAGAAAUCCUGGUUGCCUCUGCUAUUUGGUGACACAACUUGAUCUCAAACUUACGGGGCCUCCUCAGAAGAAUGUUUUAUUUGAACGCCUCCACAUUCCCGCUCUUCUGCAUGAACUUUUUGAUUACAGAGCUGCGGCGACCUCAUACCUCCCUCCCACCGCCUGAGUAAAGCUCCAGGCUCCUGAAGCUAGGAGGGGGUAUCUCUCGGCUCCACGCAUCGUCCCCUGCCUCGCUAACUCCAGUGGGAAUUUUCUUCAUGUCCUUGGUCUCUGAUGCUAGUCCCUACGGUAUUCUCCUCUCAGCACCUGCCUUGUCUCUACCUCUCUUCCCUUUUCCUUGUUGUGCAUAUGCAAAGAGAGGCAGGCGCUCCCCUCAAAUGAGCAGGGUCCCUGACAGCCUCAUCAAUGGCGUUGACAGAAUAAGGACGAGGGGAUGAUGAUCUGAGGAGAGCUUGGUGUUGAGGUGCAGCCUCCCAGUGGAUUCAUCAAGCCACCUGACACGCCUUAGCUGUGGCGCCAAUUGCGGGAGUUAUCCCGAGAGAGCUUUAGCCCUUUAUCUGAGUGUCUCCAUACCUUCCUAAGUGAAUUUACAUUUCAAAACAGCAGCUUUUCAAUCACGCAGGAUCAGUACAGGGUCCCCCUUUAUCAUUAAGUUUACCAUCAGUUAAAGGAGAGACUUACUUGACAGAAUGGACGUGAAGUUUAGCGGGAGGAGGAUUUUGCUCUUUGAUGGCUGAGUGCACUGCAUUUCCUCUCUCAAAUGAGCAAGUCAAUUGGUCAAAAGUCUCUACUGCAGUACUGAAGUGCUAAUGACAACCAGUGCGCGGUUUUAUCUUCAAAUUCCCAAAUCAUUACAAAAAUAUGUUGCUGCAUAUAAGAAGCCUAGGGAAUGUUAACAAAAGUUCCCAAACUGUCGGCACGGUAUUUUUGCACGCUAAGCCGUUCACACGCUGAACUCCGGUGUGUUUCACUGUAUGUCUCAGUAUAACAGACAGCCUGUGGGGUGGUGAAAGUUCCCACAGUGACAGCGACUUUUACCUGAUCAUCUUGGCAGGCCCUCGAUGAGAUUAUCAGCUCGGCCAUUCAUCACUCAUGAUCUGCCGAUCAGCUGAUCCUUAUCCUCCUCUAUCCGUGCUGUGACGGAGGCAAGGCUACAUGCUCUCAGCUGAGUGCUCAGUCAUCUUUACACUAUGUGCUAUUUAAACACUGCAGAAAGCAACAGACAGCACAAUCAUUAGGCUAAAUAUUGGCACAGGUGCCAGAACAGGUGUGUCUGAAGUCACUCCUAUGGGAUCUCUAUAUGUUUAACACCUACAGCCAGAGACAUGGAUAUAAGGGGAAAAUAUUUAAUUUUAUAUGAAUGCCUGACUAUGAAUUGAAAUCCUACUAGUGGUGGGGUAAAAACUGUAAAAAUGUAGCAUGUCAAGCAACAACUUACUCAUAAUAAAAAUAUAAAACGUCAGCAUGAAAUGCAAAUUUACCCUAUUUUCUAUCUUCUAAUUGC